Molecule: ribosomal RNA, 440 nt
Filed under: uncultured bacterium
Lineage: Bacteria
Description: partial 16S ribosomal RNA
Rfam family: Bacterial small subunit ribosomal RNA
Source: RNAcentral
CCUACGGGAGGCAGCAGUGGGGGAUAUUGCACAAUGGGGGAAACCCUGAUGCAGCGACGCCGCGUGGGUGAAGAAGCGCCUCGGCUCGUAAAGCCCUGUCAGCAGGGAAGAAAAUGACGGUACGUGGAGAAGAAACCCCGGCCAACUACUGGGCAGGAGCCGCCGGAAUACGGAGGGGGCAAGGGUUUGCCGGAUAUACGGGGUGUAAAGGGGGGGCAGGCGGGGAAGCAAGCCAGGAGUGAAAGGCCGGGGGCCAACCCCGGGACUGCGCUUGGAACUGCGUGGCUAGAGUGCAGGAGAGGCAAGCGGAAUUCCUGGUGUAGCGGUGAAAUGCGUAGAUAUCAGGAGGAACACCAGUGGCGAAGGCGGCCUGCUGGACUGCAACUGACGUUGAGGCCCGAAAGCGUGGGGAGCAAACAGGAUUAGAUACCCUAGUAGUC